This 461-nucleotide ribosomal RNA is filed under the name uncultured bacterium. RNAcentral's name for it is "bacterial SSU rRNA". It matches the Rfam family "Bacterial small subunit ribosomal RNA", at positions 50 to 507 of the family's 1533-position model. The record is from RNAcentral.
AAUACAUGCAAGUCGAACGGGAUUCAGGGUAGCAAUACCUUGAUGAGAGUGGCGUACGGGUGCGUAACACGUUUGCAACCUACCUCUGACUGGGGAAUAGCUCACCGAAAGGUGGAUUAAUACCGCAUAAUAUUCCAACGGGGCAUCCUGUUGGAAUUAAACCUCCGGGGGUCAGAGACGGGCAUGCGUCCGAUUAGUUUGUUGGUGAGGUAACGGCUCACCAAGACUACGAUCGGUAGGGGGUCUGAGAGGAUGAUCCCCCACACUGGUACUGAGACACGGACCAGACUCCUACGGGAGGCAGCAGUAAGGAAUAUUGGACAAUGGUGGCAACACUGAUCCAGCCAUGCCGCGUGCAGGAUGAAGGCCCUAUGGGUCGUAAACUGCUUUUAUACGGAAAAAACCCCCCGAUGUAUCGGGGGCUGAUGGUACCGUAAGAAUAAGGGUCGGCUAACUUCGUG